Molecule: ribosomal RNA, 277 nt
Filed under: uncultured prokaryote
Description: partial 16S ribosomal RNA
Rfam family: Bacterial small subunit ribosomal RNA
Source: RNAcentral
UACGUAUGGGGCGAGCGUUGUCCGGAAUUAUUGGGCGUAAAGGGUACGUAGGCGGUUAGAUAAGUCAGAUGUAAAAGCGUGGGGCUCAACCCCAUAAAGCAUUUGAAACUGUCUAAUUUGAGUAGUGGAGAGGAAAGUGGAAUUCCUAGUGUAGCGGUGAAAUGCGUAGAUAUUAGGAGGAAUACCAGUGGCGAAGGCGGCUUUCUGGCCAGCUACUGACGCUCAUGCGCGAAAGCUGGGGUAGCGAACCGGAUUAGAUACCCCGGUAGUCCCUGAG